This 252-nucleotide ribosomal RNA is filed under the name uncultured bacterium. Its description in RNAcentral is "partial 16S ribosomal RNA". It matches the Rfam family "Bacterial small subunit ribosomal RNA", at positions 84 to 334 of the family's 1533-position model. The record is from RNAcentral.
AAGAUGGCGGACCGGCGCACGGGGUGAAGUAACACGUAUCCAACCUGCCGAUAACUCUGGAAUACCCUUUACGAAAGAAAGAUUAAUACCGGAUGGCAUACGAAUAUCGCAUGAUACUUUUAUUAAAGAAUUUCGGUUAUCGAUGGGGAUGCGUUCCAUUAGUUUGUUGGCGGGGUAACGGCCCACCAAGACAACGAUGGAUAGGGGUUCUGAGAGGAAGGUCCCCCACAUUGGAACUGAGACACGGUCCAA